This 468-nucleotide ribosomal RNA is filed under the name uncultured bacterium. RNAcentral's name for it is "bacterial SSU rRNA". It matches the Rfam family "Bacterial small subunit ribosomal RNA", at positions 328 to 794 of the family's 1533-position model. The record is from RNAcentral.
UUUCCAGACUCCUACGGGAGGCAGCAGUGAGGAAUAUUGGUCAAUGGACGAGAGUCUGAACCAGCCAAGUAGCGUGAAGGAUGACUGCCCUAUGGGUUGUAAACUUCUUUUAUAUGGGAAUAAAAUGUUCCACGUGUGGGAUUUUGUAUGUACCAUAUGAAUAAGGAUCGGCUAACUCCGUGCCAGCAGCCGCGGUAAUACGGAGGAUCCGAGCGUUAUCCGGAUUUAUUGGGUUUAAAGGGUGCGUAGGCGGAAUGCCAAGUCAGCGGUAAAAUCGUGGGGCUCAACCUCGCUCCGCCGUUGAAACUGGCGUUCUUGAGUGGGCGAGAAGUAUGCGGAAUGCGUGGUGUAGCGGUGAAAUGCAUAGAUAUCACGCAGAACUCCGAUUGCGAAGGCAGCAUACCGGCGCCCUACUGACGCUGAGGCACGAAAGCGUGGGUAUCGAACAGGAUUAGAUACCCGGGUAAG